GGCUUUGUUAUAUUGUUGCUGUGCUUUUGGAUCCGGAUUUUACGUUUAUUGAUUUUAUUUCGGAUUUGUUGGCUGAUAUUGUUUUGGAUUGUUGAACGGAUCCAGUGGAUUUGAAAACUUGUUAAUUAAACCGGUUCGAUGGACUGGCUUUCUGAACUGUUUUUCUGAACUAGUUUCUGAAUUGGUUUUGUUUGAACUAUUUCAGCUUGUUGGACUUUUUGUUGGAAUUGUGUUUUUUCAUAGGAUGAUUGGAGUUAAGGUCCCAUUUGGGGCAAACCGUCCUCCUGAGAAAAAUCACUUCUCAAACCGGCUUUUCAAAUAAGCUCUUUUCUGUAUAAUCUCUUUUUGGCCAAGCAAUCUCAAAAUGCAGUUUUCCUCU
RNAcentral lists this long non-coding RNA (379 nucleotides) under Lathyrus oleraceus (garden pea). RNAcentral's name for it is "Pisum sativum (pea) long non-coding RNA (PSAT_LNC030633)". Lineage: Eukaryota; Viridiplantae; Streptophyta; Magnoliopsida; Fabales; Fabaceae. The record is from RNAcentral.